This 487-nucleotide ribosomal RNA is filed under the name uncultured bacterium. RNAcentral describes it as "partial 16S ribosomal RNA". It matches the Rfam family "Bacterial small subunit ribosomal RNA", at positions 899 to 1397 of the family's 1533-position model. The record is from RNAcentral.
ACUCAAAGGAAUUGACGGGGACUCGCACAAGUGGUGGAUUAUGUGGCUCAAUUCGUCGACAAACGAAGAACCUUACCAAGGUUAGAAAUCCAGCUGCAUCCGUAUCGAAAGACUCGGAGCCUUCGAGGGUGCUGGACAGGUGGUGCACGGUCGUCGUCAGUUCGUGGUUUGAACUGUUCCCUUCAGUGGGGUAACGAACGCAACCCCUAUUGCCUGUUGCCUAUAUGGUCAGGCGAGACUGCUCCCUCACGGGAGAGGAGGGUGGGGAUGACGCCAGAUCAGCGUGCCCCUCUGAUACCUUGGGCCGCACACAUAAUACAAUGGCAGGCACAACGGGACGCAAUACCGCAAGGUGGAGCAAAUCCUUAAACCCUGCCUCAGUACGGAUUGAGGUCUGCAACCGACCUCAUGAAGCCGGAAUCACUAGUAAUCCCGGGUCAGCCAAACCGGGGUGAAUACGUUCUCGAGUCUUGUACACACCGCCCGU